UAAAAUUAGAUGUGUCUAAAUGAUUAAAAAU
Molecule: non-coding RNA, 31 nt
Filed under: Mus musculus (house mouse)
Lineage: Eukaryota; Metazoa; Chordata; Mammalia; Rodentia; Muridae
Source: RNAcentral